RNAcentral lists this ribosomal RNA (1075 nucleotides) under uncultured bacterium. RNAcentral's name for it is "bacterial SSU rRNA". It matches the Rfam family "Bacterial small subunit ribosomal RNA", at positions 401 to 1496 of the family's 1533-position model. The record is from RNAcentral.
GAACAUUGGCACCGGUUACCGCUCCGUGGGAAUGGCUAGGUUAACGUUGCAAGGAGAAGUCGCUAUCUUGAUUAGACGUACCUGAGAAUAGGCCCGCUAUACGUGCCAGCAGGCGCGGUAGUACGUACGGUGCAGCGUAUCGACUACUGAGCGUAAGCGUGGGCAGCGCUAUGCAAGACAGAGGUGAAAUCCCGGGCUCCACCUGGGACUGCUUUGUGACUGCAUGGCUAGAGUACGGUAGAGGGGGAUGGAAUUCCGCGUGUAGCAGUGAAAUGCGUAGAUAUGCGGAGGAACACGAUGGCGAAGGCAAUCCCCUGGACCUGUACUGACGCUCAUGCACGAAAGCGUGGGGAGCAAACAGGAUUAGAUACCUGGUAGACACGCCCUAAACGAUGUCAACUGGUUGUUGGGAGGGUUUCUUCUCAGUAACGUAGCUAACGCGUGAAGUUGACCGCCUGGGGAGUACGGCCGCAAGGUUGAAACUCAAAGGAAUUGACGGGGACCCGCACAAGCGGUGGAUGAUGUGGUUUAAUUCGAUGCAACGCGAAAAACCUUACCUACCCUUGACAUGUCUGGAAUCCUGAAGAGAUUCGGGAGUGCUCGAAAGAGAGCCAGAACACAGGUGCUGCAUGGCCGUCGUCAGCUCGUGUCGUGAGAUGUUGGGUUAAGUCCCGCAACGAGCGCAACCCUUGUCAUUAGUUGCUACGAAAGGGCACUCUAAUGAGACUGCCGGUGACAAACCGGAGGAAGGUGGGGAUGACGUCAGGUCAUCAUGGCCCUUAUGGGUAGGGCUACACACGUCAUACAAUGGCCGGGACAGAGGGCUGCCAACCCGCGAGGGGGAGCUAAUCCCAGAAACCCGGUCGUAGUCCGGAUCGUAGUCUGCAACUCGACUGCGUGAAGUCGGAAUCGCUAGUAAUCGCGGAUCAGCUUGCCGCGGUGAAUACGUUCCCGGGUCUUGUACACACCGCCCGUCACACCAUGGGAGCGGGUUCUGCCAGAAGUAGUUAGCCUAACCGCAAGGGGGGCGAUUACCACGGCAGGGUUCGUGACUGGGGUGAAGUCGUGAACAAGG